Melanotaenia boesemani (Boeseman's rainbowfish) is the source of this 874-nucleotide long non-coding RNA. RefSeq lists it as uncharacterized. The transcript has 2 exons. The record is from RefSeq and is a predicted model, not a curated record. Lineage: Eukaryota; Metazoa; Chordata; Actinopteri; Atheriniformes; Melanotaeniidae.
GGAGCUCGCGCUCUCUCUUUCUCUCUUCCCCACCUCGUUUGUCUCUUCACAGGGUGAUGAGGGAGCAGCGCUGUUGGCGGUAGAGGAGGUGCGUGGCAGUCCAGGAAGCUGUCAUUCCGCUGCUGUGUGCCGCUUCGCUUGUCGUCCGGCUUCAACCUCACUCUCUCUCUGUGCGUGUGUCAGAGUUGCCUUACCCUAACUCCUCGCUCUCCUCCCCCCUCAUUGAUUCCUCUUUCCGCCUGCCUCUCGUGUUCGCUCUCAGUCCUCUUUUAAUUUCUUCUCCUUUCCUGCUCUUUCUGAUUCUGCCGUCCCUCUUUUUGUGCCUUCCCUCGUCUUCUUCACCCGCCAGGAUAAGAGCUAGAGAUGGCUGCCUGGUGUGCAAAGCAAUGGCUGUUCUUUCCAAGAGUGAGCAGCAGUUGCAGCAGCAGGCAUCGGAUCAACCUGCCAAGCCAGGCCUUGGAGUUUGGACUUUGAAGCAGACUGCAUGCUUGCUGGGAGCAGAGUGGCAGACUGCUCUUCCAGUAAAACGUCCUUUGUCAGAUAAUGCCCACCAGGGUACAGUACUGGGGGAUGAUUCGACAGCUCACACAUGCACAGUGUGAUGGGUUUGAAGCAAUAAAAAGGCACCAGGUCCCCCAAUAGUCCCUUUUAAAAUGUCUCAUCUGCCACAGGUGCAAGCAAUUCAUUGACACAUGCUGGUUUCUCCCCCAAAAGCUAGAAAAACAAGCUACAGAAAGAAACCAAUUGAGCAGAAGUCCUUAGAUAGUUACCAUAUGCAGUGGUUACUGAUUUUAUAAAAAAAAAAAAAGAGAGAGAGAAAAAGAAUACUAACAUCCAAAAUAAACACCAUCUUUAACGGUCAAAUGGCAUGAAG